RNAcentral lists this ribosomal RNA (504 nucleotides) under uncultured bacterium. RNAcentral describes it as "partial 16S ribosomal RNA". It matches the Rfam family "Bacterial small subunit ribosomal RNA", at positions 899 to 1397 of the family's 1533-position model. The record is from RNAcentral.
ACUCAAAGGAAUUGACGGGGGUCCGCACAAGCGGUGGAACAUGUGGUUUAAUUCGACGCUACGCGAGAAACCUUACCUGGGCUUGACAUAUUUCUGACCGCUGUAGAAAUACAGUUUUCUAAGUUUACUUAGACAGAUUUACAGGUGCUGCAUGGCUGUCGUCAGCUCGUGUCGUGAGAUGUUAGGUUAAGUCCUCUAACGAGCGCAACCCUUGCUGUCAGUUGCUACGUGUUUUUACACGGCACUCUGGCGGUACUGCCUGGGAAACCAGGAGGAAGGUGGGGACGACGUCAAGUCAUCAUGGUCCUUAUGCCCAGGGCUACACACGUGUUACAAUGGCUAAUACAGAGGGCAGCAAUUCCGCAAGGAGGAGCAAAUCUCAGAAAGUUAGUCUAAGUUCAGAUUGGGGUCUGCAACUCGACCCCAUGAAGUUGAAAUCGCUAGUAAUCGCGUAUCAGCAACGGCGCGGUGAAUACGUUCUCGGACCUUGCACACACCGCCCGU